RNAcentral lists this ribosomal RNA (253 nucleotides) under uncultured bacterium. RNAcentral's name for it is "partial 16S ribosomal RNA". It matches the Rfam family "Bacterial small subunit ribosomal RNA", at positions 524 to 776 of the family's 1533-position model. The record is from RNAcentral.
UACAGAGGUCUCGAGCGUUAGGCGGAAUCACUGGGCUUAAAGCGUGUGUAGGCGGAUCGGUAAGUACCUUGUGAAAUCCCACAGCUUAACUGUGGAACUGCUUGGUAUACUGCCAGUCUUGAGCCAGCUAGGGGCUACCGGAACAAAUGGUGGGGCGGUGAAAUGCGUAGAUAUCAUUUGGAACGCCAAUGGUGAAAACAGGUAGCUGGGGCUGUGCUGACGCUGAGACACGAAAGCCAGGGGAGCGAACGGG